GCUUCUCUCGAGGAAGUUCUUCGCUGUGAGGCAUACAUCUUAUUCUACGAGAAAGUUUGAGGUGGAUAUAUUUUUUUUUUUUUCUUUUUUUCUUUUUUCAUACAUUUGAUAUUUAUUACAGUUGGGGGGUGAAGUGAGCUCCCCAAAAAGACGAGGCAGAGGAAAAAGAGAAAAGGAAAAACAAAAGAAGCUGAGAUGAUGACUUAUACAUCUUUGGCAGAUAAGUAUCUAUCAGAAAAUUUGCCAAUCCAAGUUGUUUGAUAGGAUUUUCAAUCCCCUUUUCUGGAUGAACAUGAACCUGAACCUGAACACGAUGAAUUUAUUUUCAACUUAGUAUA
Molecule: non-coding RNA, 338 nt
Organism: Carica papaya (papaya)
Lineage: Eukaryota; Viridiplantae; Streptophyta; Magnoliopsida; Brassicales; Caricaceae
Source: RefSeq, a predicted model, not a curated record